RNAcentral lists this long non-coding RNA (1006 nucleotides) under Homo sapiens (human). Its description in RNAcentral is "HSALNT0409157". The record is from RNAcentral. Lineage: Eukaryota; Metazoa; Chordata; Mammalia; Primates; Hominidae.
GUCCUUCUUACUCUUCUUCUUUUCCUUCUUGAUCAACUGAGGAGCUGCUGGAGGAGUCUCGUCACUUUCACUCUCACUCUCUCGCUUCCGCUGAGAUGAAAGCAAUUGGUUAAGUGUUAGAUCUUGGGCAAUAAUGGACAAGAAAGGUUCAGUGAGUCAAAAGGUAGCAAGGCACCAAGAAAGAUCCCAACUGAAUCUAACAGGACGUUUUCUGACUACAAACCCGGACAGGGCCUUAGUUUACUGAGGAUUUGAAGACAGUCUCAUCCCCCAAAUCCAAGAAGCCUUGAGGCAGGCACAAGAGAAGGAGCACAGCAGCAGCACGGGGCUUGGGGUGGAAAGGCCCGGAGGAGCUGUUUCUCUCAUGACUGCAAGGACCUCUCACAGAAAGCAGGCAAAGCAGGAAUUCACAUCUGACAAGUCAGAAGCUCCUCCCACACAGCCUGUGCAGGAUACUCAGUACCGCCCCCGGUUUCUGAGUGCAGACCUGUCAUUCUGUGCUCUAAUGCCAGCAGCUCCAUGGGGUGGAGUUGCCAACCCAUGCUUGACUGACUCUUUCAACACUGGGUGGUGCCAGGUUAAGAUGCAAUUCUGCUCUCUGCUGAAUUUUGUAUGGCCUCGAAUGUCCAACAGCCAUGGCCUCUGAUUUCAACACAUCUGUCCUACCAUUUGACCCAGGGCGGGGGCCAGAAUUGACACACACACCACCACCCAUUCCAUCACUGUGUUGCUGCCAUAGCUGAGGUAGGAGUCGAGGCCCAUCUGAUUCCUGAGCCCACAUUCCUCCUCCCAGCAGAUAGGACAGAGAAUACAAAUCAGAGGAGCCUGCAGAGCCCAAACAAGCACCCCAGGGUAUGAGGCAGCAUUACCUGUGUAUGCGCUGCACCUCUGAUGCUAGCGUAUAUGGCUGGACUGCGGACAGUCACAAAGUAAGACGAAUGCCAGUGCCUCUUAGGAUUAUCUCCCUAAGCACAUUCCAAACUGAGGACAGCAUGCCACUCACCUU